AUGUCCCCACUGAUGUCCCCAAUGCCCCCAAUGGUGUCCCCAAUGCCCCCAAUGAUGUCCCCAAUGCCCUCAAUGUCCCCACUGAUGUCCCCAAUGCCCCCAAUGAUGUCCCCAAUGUCCCCACUGAUGUCCCCAAUGGUGUCCCCAUGGGGUGUCCUUAAGGAGUGUCCCCACUGCUGUCCCCAAUGGGGUUCCCCACUGAUAUCCCCAAUGCCCCAAUGAUGUCCCCAAUGUCCCCAAUGCCCCCACUGAUGUCCCCACUGACGUCCCCAAUGUUGUCCCCAAUGCUGAUGACGUCACCAAACUGAUGUCCCCACUGAUGUCCCCAAUGCUGUCCCCAUAGGGUGUCCUUAAGGAGUGUCCCCACUGAUGUCCCCAAAGGAUGAGCCCACAGGGGGUCCCCAAUGACGUCACCAAUGACGUCACCGAGCUGACCCCCCCCCCCUUCGGUGUCCCCAUCGCUGUGUUCCAACCCCCCCCCCCCGGGGAGGGACACCAAUGUGUGACAGAGUCACGUGACACCGCCGGGGGGGACACCAAUGUGUGACAGAGUCACGUGACACCACCGGGGGGGGGGGGGGGGGGGGGCCCGGCACUGUGACAACGUCACGUGACACCGCCGGGGACACCGAUGUGUGAUAACGUCACGUGACACCGCCGGGGGAAACCAACGUGCGAUGAGGUCACGUGACACCAACGGGGGAGGGGGCGCUGUGACAGCGUCACGUGACACCGCCGGGGACACCAAUGUGCGACGAGGUCACGUGACACCGCCCGGGAACAGCGCUGUGACAGCGUCACGUGACACCGCCGGGGCACACGGAUGCCUGAUGAGGUCACGUGACACCACCGGGUUUUUUGGGGGGGGGGGGGGGGGGGCGGCACUGUGACAACGUCACGUGACACCGCCGGGGACACCGAUGUGCGAUGAGGUCACGUGAUACCGCCGGGGACACCAAUAUGCGAUGAGGUCACGUGACACCACCGAAGGGGGGGCGCUGUGACAGCGUCACGUGACUCCGCCGGGGACAUCAAUGUGUGAUGAGAUCACGUGACACCAACGGGGGAUACCAAUAUGCGAUGAGGUCACGUGACACCACCGGGUUUGGGGGGUGGGGGCUGUGACAGCGUCACGUGACACCGCCGGGGGGACCAACGUGUGAUAAAGUCACGUGAUACCGCCGGGGGACACCAAUAUGCGAUGAGGUCACGUGACACCGCCGGGGGGACACCAAUAUGCGAUGAGGUCACGUGACACCGCCGGGGGACACCAAUGUGUCACCUCCGGACGUCGCUGUGCCCCAUAGCGCUGUCACUGUGCCCCAUAGCGCUGUCACUGAGCCCCAUAGCGCUGCCACUGUGCCCCAUAGCGCUGUCACUGCGCCCCAUAGCGCCGCCACUGCGCCCCAUAGAGCCAUCCCUGUGCCCCAUAGCGCCAUCCCUGUGCCCCAUAGCGCCGGCACUGUGCCCCAUAGCGCUGCCACUGUGCCCCAUAGCGCUGGCACUGCGCCCCAUAGCGCUGCCACUGUGCCCCAUAGCACCACCGCUGUGCCCCAUAGAGCCAUCCCUGUGCCCCAUAGCACUGCCACUGCGCCCCAUAGCGCCGCCACUGUGCCCCAUAGAGCCAUCCCUGUGCCCCAUAGCGCUGCCGCUGUGCCCCAUAGAGCCAUCCCUGUGCCCCAUAGCGCUGUCCCUGUGCCCCAUAGAGCCAUCCCUGGGCCCCAUAGCGAGACCCCUGUGCCCCAUAGCGCUGUCACUGUGCCCCAUAGCGCUGCCACUGUGCCCCAUAGAGCCACCGCUGUGCCCCAUAGCGCUGCCACUGCGCCCCAUAGCACCACCGCUGUGCCCCAUAGAGCCAUCACUGUGCCCCAUAGUGCUGUCACUGCGCCCCAUAGUGCUGCCACUGUGCCCCAUAGCGCUGCCACUGUGCCCCAUAGCACCACCGCUGUGCCCCAUAGAGCCAUCCCUGUGCCCCAUAGCGCCGUCACUGUGCCCCAUAGCGCUGCCACUGUGCCCCAUAGCGCCGCCACUGUGCCCCAUAGCGCUGCCACUGUGCCCCAUAGCGCUGCCACUGUGCCCCAUAGCACCACCGCUGUGCCCCAUAGAGCCAUCCCUGUGCCCCAUAGAGCCACCGCUGUGCCCCAUAGAGCCAUCCCUGUGCCCCAUAGCACUGCCACUGCUCCCCAUAGCGCUGCCACUGUGCCCCAUAGAGCCAUCCCUGUGCCCCAUAGCGCCACCACUGGGCCCCAUAGUGCCACCAUUCUGCCCUACAGAGCCACCCCUGUGCCCCAUAGCACUGUCACUGCGCCCCAUAGCACUUUCACUGCGCCUCAUAGAGCCAUCCCUGUGCCCCAUAGCACUGCCACUGCGCCCCAUAGCGCCGCCACUGUGCCCCAUAGAGCCAUCCCUGUGCCCCAUAGCGCUGCCACUGUGCCCCAUAGAGCCAUCCCUGUGCCCCAUAGCGCUGCCGCUGUGCCCCAUAGAGCCAUCCCUGUGCCCCAUAGCGCUGUCCCUGUGCCCCAUAGAGCCAUCCCUGGGCCCCAUAGCGAGACCCCUGUGCCCUAUAGCGCUGUCACUGUGCCCCAUAGCGCUGCCACUGUGCCCCAUAGAGCCACCGCUGUGCCCCAUAGAGCCACCGCUGUGCCCCAUAGCGCUGCCACUGCGCCCCAUAGCACCACCGCUGUGCCCCAUAGCACCACCGCUGUGCCCCAUAGUGCUGUCACUGCGCCCCAUAGUGCUGCCACUGUGCCCCAUAGCGCUGCCACUGUGCCCCAUAGAGCCAUCCCUGUGCCCCAUAGCGCCGUCACUGUGCCCCAUAGCGCCGCCACUGCGCCCCAUAGCGCUGCCACUGUGCCCCAUAGCACCACCGCUGUGCCCCAUAGAGCCAUCCCUGUGCCCCAUAGCGCUGUCUCUGCGCCCCAUAGCACCACCGCUGUGCCCCAUAGCACCACCGCUGUGCCCCAUAGUGCUGUCACUGCGCCCCAUAGUGCUGCCACUGUGCCCCAUAGCGCUGCCACUGUGCCCCAUAGAGCCAUCCCUGUGCCCCAUAGCGCCGUCACUGUGCCCCAUAGCGCCAUCCCUGUGCCCCAUAGAACCACCGCUGUGCCCCAUAGCGCUGCCACUGCGCCCCAUAGCACCACCGCUGUGCCCCAUAGAGCCAUCCCUGUGCCCCAUAGUGCUGUCACUGCGCCCCAUAGUGCUGCCACUGUGCCCCAUAGCGCUGCCACUGUGCCCCAUAGCACCACCGCUGUGCCCCACAGAGCCAUCCCUGUGCCCCAUAGCGCCGUCACUGUGCCCCAUAGCGCUGCCACUGUGCCCCAUAGCACCACCGCUGUGCCCCAUAGAGCCAUCCCUGUGCCCCAUAGCGCUGUCUCUGCGCCCCAUAGCGCCGCCACUGUGCCCCAUAGCGCCAUCCCUGUGCCCCAUAGCGCUGUCACUGUGCCCCAUAGAACCACCGCUGUGCCCCAUAGAGCCAUCCCUGGGCCCCACAGUGCCAUCCUUCUGCCCCACAGAGCCACCCCUGUGCCCCAUAGCGCUGUCACUGCGCCCCAUAGUGCUGCCACUGUGCCCCAUAGCGCUGCCACUGUGCCCCAUAGCACCACCGCUGUGCCCCACAGAGCCAUCCCUGUGCCCCAUAGCGCCGUCACUGUGCCCCAUAGCGCUGCCACUGUGCCCCAUAGCACCACCGCUGUGCCCCAUAGAGCCAUCCCUGUGCCCCAUAGCGCUGUCUCUGCGCCCCAUAGCGCCGCCACUGUGCCCCAUAGCGGCUUCCCUGUGCCCCAUAGAACCACCGCUGUGCCCCAUAGCGCUGCCACUGUGCCCCAUAGUGCCACCAUUCUGUCCCACAGCGCCAUCCCUGUGCCCCAUAGCGCAGCCACUGUGGCCCAUAGCGCCAUCCCUGUGCCCCAUAGCGCUGCCACUGUGCCCCACAGAACCACUGCUGUGCCCCACAGAGCCAUCCCUGUGCCCCAUAGAGCCAUCCCUGUGCCCCAUAGCGCUGUCACUGUGCCCCAUAGAACCACCGCUGUGCCCCAUAGAGCCAUCCCUGGGCCCCACAGUGCCAUCCUUCUGCCCCACAGAGCCACCCCUGUGCCCCAUAGCGCUGUCACUGCGCCCCAUAGUGCUGCCACUGUGCCCCAUAGCGCUGCCACUGUGCCCCACAGCGCCAUCCCUGUGCCCCACAGCGCUGUGCCCCACAGCAUCAC
RNAcentral lists this long non-coding RNA (4205 nucleotides) under Gallus gallus (chicken). RNAcentral's name for it is "lncRNA (ENSGALG00010009785.1)". Lineage: Eukaryota; Metazoa; Chordata; Aves; Galliformes; Phasianidae. The record is from RNAcentral.